This 465-nucleotide ribosomal RNA is filed under the name Vreelandella stevensii. RNAcentral's name for it is "partial 16S ribosomal RNA". It matches the Rfam family "Bacterial small subunit ribosomal RNA", at positions 338 to 795 of the family's 1533-position model. Lineage: Bacteria; Pseudomonadati; Pseudomonadota; Gammaproteobacteria; Oceanospirillales; Halomonadaceae. The record is from RNAcentral.
CCUACGGGAGGCAGCAGUGGGGAAUAUUGGACAAUGGGGGGAACCGUGAUCCAGCCAUGCCGCGUGUGUGAAGAAGGCCCUCGGGUUGUAAAGCACUUUCAGUGAGGAAGAACGCCUGGUGGUUAAUACCCAUCAGGAAAGACAUCACUCACAGAAGAAGCACCGGCUAACUCCGUGCCAGCAGCCGCGGUAAUACGGAGGGUGCGAGCGUUAAUCGGAAUUACUGGGCGUAAAGCGCGCGUAGGUGGCUUGAUAAGCCGGUUGUGAAAGCCCCGGGCUCAACCUGGGAACGGCAUCCGGAACUGUCAAGCUAGAGUGCAGGAGAGGAAGGUAGAAUUCCCGGUGUAGCGGUGAAAUGCGUAGAGAUCGGGAGGAAUACCAGUGGCGAAGGCGGCCCUCUGGACUGACACUGACACUGAGGUGCGAAAGCGUGGGUAGCAAACAGGAUUAGAUACCCUUGUAGUC